Molecule: unclassified non-coding RNA, 217 nt
Filed under: Hevea brasiliensis (rubber tree)
Lineage: Eukaryota; Viridiplantae; Streptophyta; Magnoliopsida; Malpighiales; Euphorbiaceae
Source: RNAcentral
AAAAAAAAAAAAGGCCAACUCAAUCGUCAGUACUAAUACUGGGCCGCUUAUAUAAUUAAUGAAAGUAGAGGUUAUUUUAUGAAAAUUAAAGAAACUAGGGCUGAUUUUGAAAGUAAGAUUAUGAUAUAAGCACCUGCGAGGGUUUAUUGAGGGUUUCUGGAGCUAGUGCAGAGUCGCCAAGCAAGGAGGAGAGGAUGUCUCACAGGAAGUUUGAGCA